GCGGGCAUCGUCCAAGGGUAGGACCACGGUCUUCCACACCGUAUGUGCGGGUUCGAAUCCCGCUGCCCGCUCCG
Molecule: transfer RNA, 74 nt
Filed under: Chondromyces crocatus
Lineage: Bacteria; Pseudomonadati; Myxococcota; Polyangiales; Polyangiaceae
Description: tRNA-Gly
Rfam family: tRNA
About the family: Transfer RNA (tRNA) molecules are approximately 80 nucleotides in length. Their secondary structure includes four short double-helical elements and three loops (D, anti-codon, and T loops).
Source: RNAcentral